RNAcentral lists this unclassified non-coding RNA (205 nucleotides) under uncultured fungus. RNAcentral's name for it is "sequence contains ITS1". Lineage: Eukaryota; Fungi. The record is from RNAcentral.
GACGACUCUGACGAUGAUGGGCGUGAUGUCGAUCUCGAUGUUCCUCGGCAUCACCUGGCUCGCGGACCAGACCAACGUUGUGUUCACGGAGGAGUCUGAACGUACGGUCGUCGCGCAAAUCGCGCACGCGGUUUUCGGCGGAGGAUUCAUGUUCUAUGUCUUGCAGAUCAUGACCGCCGGGAUCCUCAUCCUGGCCGCCAACACU